Molecule: long non-coding RNA, 1275 nt
Organism: Mesocricetus auratus (golden hamster)
Lineage: Eukaryota; Metazoa; Chordata; Mammalia; Rodentia; Cricetidae
Exons: 5
Source: RefSeq, a predicted model, not a curated record
CUUCCUGUUGCCUAUGCGUCAAUAUAAGAGCUCUCAGCUCUUUCCCCCGCACCAUCACUAACUGCAUGCUUCGCACCAUGACAAUAGUGGACUAAAUCUCUGAUCUGCAAGUGAGCCACUCCAAUGAAAUGUUUUUGUUUAUGAGUUGCUGUGGCCAUGGUGUCUCUUCACAGCAAUUGAAACCCUAACUAGGACAGCGGGGAUUAUGGAGGAUGCUGCAUGCUAGCUGGCUUACAAGCUCACGCCUGGGUAGCUUCUUAUAUAGUCCUGGACCACCUGCUAGAGAAUGGUGCUUCCCACAGUGGGCUUUACCCUUCUACAUCAAUUAACCAUCAAGACUCCCCUCCACAGGCCAAUCUCAGCCGAGCAAACCCUCAACUGAGACUCCCUUCUCGGAUGACUCUAGGCUGUGUCAAGUGGACAGUUAAAGCUAAGUAGGACAGGAAGCAGGGGAUACUGUAUCUGGUACUGUCUGCGCCAUUCUGUCUUUUCAGAACUCACUUCCGCAGUCCUUUCCAAAGCUUACAAAAGCAGUAAACGAUUGCAAGUCCGGCAGGGAGCUCCAGGAUGAAGCUUUCUUGAAUUGUUGCCCAUCCUGGAGUGGGAUUUUUGGUAACUGAGCUGCCAUUGACUCACACACAUUCCUGUAUCUGAGAACUGACACACGGAGUCUGCCAUCUCGCUGGGCAGACGAGGGAAGGAGCAAAGUUUUUCAACCCUGGCAUCACCUGGGAGAAUCACUGCAAAUCAGAUGUGCGAGAAGGAGGUACCAUGUACAGCCUGGUGCAGAUAGAGGCUUCUGGGCAUCGAAUACUCUUUCCUAUCCUCUGGAUGAGCCCUCACCUCACGCCGCCAGAGUGGCCUAUGGAGAGAUCCUCACCCCAUCUCACUGAGGUGCUGAUGAAUUAUUGAACCAGCGUAUCGUCAGAGAACCUAUGCCGUUAAGCACAAAUCAAGAGAUGGGCAAGAGUGCAUUUCAUCACAUGAUCAUAUUACAUCACGUGACCUGGUCCAACAACAAGAGAAGGCAUACCUCUUCUAAAGAGAGCAUUGGCCCUGUGCCAAGGUGAGGAUGGAAGAAAAAUAAAUGAAAAUUAAGAAAAGCUGAAAGAAAACCAACUGUGCACAGCCUUUGGGAAAUCCAUUUGUGGCCACCGAGUCAGCAUCCAUCUGGAGUACACCAGCAUUUUCACACCAUCCAAGACGGAAAGAAAUGGACGAGUCCCAAGAGCAAGACUAAUGUUUGAAUAAAAGCCAUUUUCUGAAUGACCCGCA